CAGUCGCCACGGGAAUACGUAGGGUGCGAGCGUUAAUCGGAAUUACUGAGCGUAAAGCGUGCGCAGGCGGUUCGUUAAGACAGAUGUGUAAUCCCCGGGCUUAACCUGGGAACUGCAUUUGUGACUGGCGAGCUAGAGUAUGGCAGAGGGGGGUAGAAUUCCACGUGUAGCAGUGAAAUGCGUAGAGAUGUGGAGGAAUACCGAUGGCGAAGGCAGCCCCCUGGGCCAAUACUGACGCUCAUGCACGAAAGCGUGGGGAGCAAACGGGAUUAGAUACCCCUGUAGUCCCUGUCUCUUAUAC
RNAcentral lists this ribosomal RNA (301 nucleotides) under uncultured bacterium. RNAcentral describes it as "partial 16S ribosomal RNA". It matches the Rfam family "Bacterial small subunit ribosomal RNA", at positions 509 to 807 of the family's 1533-position model. The record is from RNAcentral.